Molecule: transfer RNA, 74 nt
Filed under: Pteropus alecto (black flying fox)
Lineage: Eukaryota; Metazoa; Chordata; Mammalia; Chiroptera; Pteropodidae
Also listed under: 1 other name
Rfam family: tRNA
About the family: Transfer RNA (tRNA) molecules are approximately 80 nucleotides in length.
Source: Rfam by way of RNAcentral
GGCUCCAUAGUGUAGCGGUUAGCACGUCUGCUUUACACGCAGAAGGUCCUGGGUUCACUCCCCGGGGGGUGCCA